GUGCUCACUUUGGCAGCACAUACACUAAAAAAAAAGGAUGUUACAAAGAAGAUUAGCAUGGUCCCUGGGCAAGGAUGACAUGCAAAUUUGUGAAGCGUUCCAUAAAAAA
This is a small nuclear RNA of Heterocephalus glaber (naked mole-rat), 109 nucleotides long. NCBI's taxonomy places the organism in Eukaryota, Metazoa, Chordata, Mammalia, Rodentia, Bathyergidae. The record is from Ensembl.